UCUGACUGCCUCUGACGGUAGGUAAACCCUAGUGUACCACUGCCGCUUCAGACGCAUCUUCUGCCUCCACUUGCCGAUCCUAGACAGACGAAUGGGAACUGAAGAAUGCGUGUUAAUUAAUCUUGAUAGCAUGGUGAUUGUUCAUAGGAAUGUAUCACCAUGCAGAAGAUGAAAUCUGCGAGUGCCCUGGGUGGUAAAGAAGGAUCUGUUCCUCAAAACAUCUGGGGCCAAAGAUGCUGAACCAGACUCUAUACUGUGUGGUGUUCCGGAAGCUUGAGCGUGAAGGGCACAUCACCAAAGAAUUUAGACGGAAACUGUUCACGUGGUUUAGUCUGAGUUCAACCGAGCAUGAACGUAGAGCGGUUAACACUUUCAUCCGAACACUUGCCCUGAAAGCUUAGGUGAACAAUUGGUUGACUCAUUUGGCGAUAUUGUGUGGCUCGACAAAAAUAAUAACAAUAUGCAACUACUGGUGGUUGUGGACCUGACAAUGCGGUUUGUUGACGUGGUUUUUGGACUCCCAUGGAUGGUGUUCUUCCAGAAUCGGAAAUUUUUAGUUUGGCCUUGAAGAUUAGUUUUAAUGACAAUUCAGAGAGUUGGUUGUGAUGAUUGAUUAAGAUUUGAAGUUUUCCAUAAAGAUACACCUUUUUUAUAAUUUAUCUCUUGUAAUCGAUUCCUAUAAUAGAUUUAUUGCAUAAAUUGUUAUUCAAGGGUUUAACACCUGCUUCGGCUUUAGAAUGCUUGUAAUUAUUUGACAAGUGAUAAUGAAGAAAGAAGUAUAGGGUGAUAAAA
This is a long non-coding RNA of Helianthus annuus (common sunflower), 792 nucleotides long. RefSeq lists it as uncharacterized. The record is from RefSeq and is a predicted model, not a curated record. NCBI's taxonomy places the organism in Eukaryota, Viridiplantae, Streptophyta, Magnoliopsida, Asterales, Asteraceae. The transcript is spliced from 3 exons.